RNAcentral lists this small RNA (145 nucleotides) under Rasamsonia emersonii CBS 393.64. RNAcentral's name for it is "A. fumigatus sRNA Afu_254". The stretch from base 56 to 145 matches the Rfam family "A. fumigatus sRNA Afu_254", at positions 60 to 158 of the family's 158-position model. The record is from Rfam by way of RNAcentral. Lineage: Eukaryota; Fungi; Ascomycota; Eurotiomycetes; Eurotiales; Trichocomaceae.
UCACCAGCCAGAAGCUCUUCAGAGCCUCUUUUCGAGCUCUCGCGUCACCACCAACACAACUCCACCAAGAUGUCGCCCUGCAACUGCAACUGCUGCUCUGGCAGCUGUGGCUCCUGCUCCUGCUCUCAGUGCAGCGUAAGUUGCC